GUGCUCACUUCGGCAGCACAUAUACUAAAAUUGGAAUGCUACAGACCUUAACAUGGCCCCUUAACAGGGAUGACAUGGAAAUUCGUGAAACAUUCCAUAUUUUU
Molecule: small nuclear RNA, 104 nt
Organism: Otolemur garnettii (small-eared galago)
Lineage: Eukaryota; Metazoa; Chordata; Mammalia; Primates; Galagidae
Source: Ensembl